GGGUUCGGCCGGGAUUUGAACCCGGGACCUCUCGCACCGUUGGCGAGAAUCAUACCCCUAGACCACCGAACC
Molecule: transfer RNA, 72 nt
Filed under: Araneus ventricosus
Lineage: Eukaryota; Metazoa; Arthropoda; Arachnida; Araneae; Araneidae
Description: tRNA-Arg
Source: RNAcentral